GCAGUGGGGAAUAUUGGACAAUGGGCGCAAGCCUGAUCCAGCCAUGCCGCGUGAGUGAUGAAGGCCUUAGGGUUGUAAAGCUCUUUUGUCCGGGACGAUAAUGACGGUACCGGAAGAAUAAGCCCCGGCUAACUUCGUGCCAGCAGCCGCGGUAAUACGAAGGGGGCUAGCGUUGCUCGGAAUCACUGGGCGUAAAGGGCGCGUAGGCGGCCAUUCAAGUCGGGGGUGAAAGCCUGUGGCUCAACCACAGAAUUGCCUUCGAUACUGUUUGGCUUGAGUAUGGUAGAGGUCAGUGGAACUGCGAGUGUAGAGGUGAAAUUCGUAGAUAUUCGCAAGAACACCAGUGGCGAAGGCGGCUGACUGGACCAUUACUGACGCUGAGGCGCGAAAGCGUGGGGAGCAAACAGGAUUAGA
RNAcentral lists this ribosomal RNA (414 nucleotides) under uncultured bacterium. Its description in RNAcentral is "bacterial SSU rRNA". It matches the Rfam family "Bacterial small subunit ribosomal RNA", at positions 351 to 782 of the family's 1533-position model. The record is from RNAcentral.